RNAcentral lists this long non-coding RNA (330 nucleotides) under Cicer arietinum (chickpea). Its description in RNAcentral is "long non-coding RNA (CARI_LNC001680)". Lineage: Eukaryota; Viridiplantae; Streptophyta; Magnoliopsida; Fabales; Fabaceae. The record is from RNAcentral.
UUGACAUAAAUGAAAUACAAAAUGAUUAACCAACACACACCUUCCAAAUUUAAUUGGGUAUGAUCACAAUAUGUGUAGAGAGAUCUGUGUGUGUUUAUGUCUUUUGCCUAAGAAGAAUAAUAUGAUCCACCCCACCCAACCGAACAAAACGCGUCUUCUCUCUUCUUUUGUCCUUUUCUUUCCGCCCCAUUCCACUCAACUUUUUCCACCUAUUUAAAUUCAAACCCAACACUAACCAAUACCUCAACACACACACAACAUUGUAACAACAAAAUGUUUUUCUAUCUCUUCUUCUUUCUUUUCUUCUCUGUUAAUCCUUCACUCUCACNN